AGCUCCAAUAGCGUAUAUUAAAGUUGUUGCAGUUAAAAAGCUCGUAGUUGGAUCUCAGGUCCAGGCUUGCGGUCCGCUCCUUGGUGGUUACUGCUCGUCCUGACCUACCACCCGGUUGGCCCUUGGUGCUCUUGACUGAGUGUCUCGGGAAGCUGGAACGUUUACUUUGAAAAAAUUAGAGUGUUCAAAGCAGGCGGUUAGCCUGAAUAAUGGUGCAUGGAAUAAUGGAAUAGGACCUCGGUUCUAUUUUGUUGGUUUUCGGAAUUGGAGGUAAUGAUUAAGAGGGACGGACGGGGGCAUUCGUAUUACGGUGUUAGAGGUGAAAUUCUUGGAUCGCCGUAAGACGAACUACUGCGAAAGCAUUUGCCAAGAAUGUUUUCAUUAAUCAAGAACGAAAGUA
This 400-nucleotide ribosomal RNA is filed under the name phytoplankton environmental sample. RNAcentral's name for it is "partial small subunit ribosomal RNA". It matches the Rfam family "Eukaryotic small subunit ribosomal RNA", at positions 587 to 991 of the family's 1831-position model. The record is from RNAcentral.